RNAcentral lists this ribosomal RNA (420 nucleotides) under bacterium. RNAcentral's name for it is "partial 16S ribosomal RNA". It matches the Rfam family "Bacterial small subunit ribosomal RNA", at positions 355 to 776 of the family's 1533-position model. The record is from RNAcentral.
UGGGGGAUAUUGCACAAUGGGCGAAAGCCUGAUGCAGCGACGCCGCGUGGGGGAUGAAGGCUUUCGGGUUGUAAACCUCUUUCGCUAUCGAACAAGGCCCGCUUAGGGUGGGUUGAGGGUAGGUGGAGAAGAAGCGCCGGCUAACUACGUGCCAGCAGCCGCGGUAAUACGUAGGGCGCGAGCGUUGUCCGGAAUUAUUGGGCGUAAAGGGCUUGUAGGCGGCUUGUUGCGCCUGCUGGGGAAACGCGGGGGUUAACUGCGCGCGUGCAGUGGGUACGGGCAGGCUUGAGUGUGGUAGGGGUGACUGGAAUUCCAGGUGUAGCGGUGGAAUGCGCAGAUAUCUGGAGGACCACCGAUGGCGAAGGCAGGUCACUGGGCCAUUACUGACGCUGAGGAGCGAAAGCAUGGGUAGCGAACAGG